UACAUGGGGUGCAAGCGUUGCCCGGAAUUAUUGGGCGUAAAGCGCACGUAGGCGGUUUGUUAAGUCGGAUGUGAAAUCCCUCGGCUCAACUGAGGAAGUGCACCCGAAACUGGCAGGCUUGAGUACUAAAGAGGGUCGCGGAGUUCCCGGUGUAGAGGUGAAAUUCGUAGAUAUCGGGAGGAACACCGGUGGCGAAGGCGGCGACCUGGGUAGAUACUGACGCUGAGGUGCGAAAGCGUGGGGAGCAAACAGG
Molecule: ribosomal RNA, 253 nt
Filed under: uncultured bacterium
Lineage: Bacteria
Description: partial 16S ribosomal RNA
Rfam family: Bacterial small subunit ribosomal RNA
Source: RNAcentral